UAUUAAAAUUUUCAUCCACUUCUUUUGUUAAAAACUAGUAUGGUUGAUGAAAUAAACAGACAGUUAUACAUGGGUGCCAUGUGUACCUUAUGUUAAUGUAUAGGAACUAGCUUCUAACAAUAAAAAUGAUGGAAUUUUUAAUA
Molecule: non-coding RNA, 143 nt
Organism: Gossypium raimondii (Peruvian cotton)
Lineage: Eukaryota; Viridiplantae; Streptophyta; Magnoliopsida; Malvales; Malvaceae
Source: Rfam